GGUGAACGCUGGCGGCGUGCCUAAUACAUGCAAGUCGAGCGAACGGACGAGAAGCUUGCUUUUCUGAUGUUAGCGGCGGACGGGUGAGUAACACGUGGAUAACCUACCUAUAAGACUGGGAUAACUUCGGGAAACCGGAGCUAAUACCGGAUAAUAUUUUGAACCGCAUGGUUCAAAAGUGAAAGACGGUCUUGCUGUCACUUAUAGAUGGAUCCGCGCUGCAUUAGCUAGUUGGUAAGGUAACGGCUUACCAAGGCAACGAUGCAUAGCCGACCUGAGAGGGUGAUCGGCCACAUUGGAACUGAGACGCGGUCCAGACGACUACGGGAGGCAGCAGUAGGGAAUCUUCCGCAAUGGGCGAAAGCCUGACGGAGCAACGCCGCGUGAGUGAUGAAGGUCUUCGGAUCGUAAAACUCUGUUAUUAGGGAAGAACAUAUGUGUAAGUAACUGUGCACAUCUUGACGGUACCUAAUCAGAAAGCCACGGCUAACUACGUG
RNAcentral lists this ribosomal RNA (497 nucleotides) under uncultured bacterium. Its description in RNAcentral is "partial 16S ribosomal RNA". It matches the Rfam family "Bacterial small subunit ribosomal RNA", at positions 28 to 507 of the family's 1533-position model. The record is from RNAcentral.